CUGUGGAGGAAACUCAGGGUAAGGGCGCGACCGCCCACGCAGGGACGAGUCUCUCAACAACGGGAGGGAGACCCAAAGAGGCCGAAGCCGGAGGAGGCCCGAGCUCUGGUCCCUCGGGGGCUUCGGCCGGCCCCUCAGACCCCGCGCCCGGCCGAGCCGCAGGUCUGGCGGUGGCGAGUGCCGCCCAGCCUCACAGGCCCGGUCCUGCCGCGCGUCGCUGACUCAGUUGUCCUGAGGAAAUUUGGACACACAGGGUGACACCAGGAAUGCACAUUUGCGGAGGAAUGGCCAUGUGAGGACACAGGAAGAAGGCAGCCUUCUGAAAGCCAAGGAGAAGCCUCAGGAGAAACUAAACCUGCCUAUACCUUGAUCUUGAACUUCCAGCCUCCAGAACUGUGAAAAAAUAAAGUUUUGUUGUUUAAGCUA
This is a long non-coding RNA of Myotis brandtii (Brandt's bat), 426 nucleotides long. RefSeq lists it as uncharacterized. The transcript has 2 exons. Lineage: Eukaryota; Metazoa; Chordata; Mammalia; Chiroptera; Vespertilionidae. The record is from RefSeq and is a predicted model, not a curated record.